AGUAACGCGUAGGAACCUGUCGCGCAGUGGGGGAUAACAGACGGAAACGUCUGCUAAUACCGCAUGUGGUCAGUAGUGAAGAAAGCAGCAAUGCGCUGUGCGAGGGGCCUGCGUCCGAUUAGCUGGUUGGUGGGGUAAAGGCCUACCAAGGCAUCGAUCGGUAGCUGGUCUGAGAGGAUGGUCAGCCACACUGGGACUGAGACACGGCCCAG
RNAcentral lists this ribosomal RNA (212 nucleotides) under uncultured bacterium. RNAcentral's name for it is "partial 16S ribosomal RNA". It matches the Rfam family "Bacterial small subunit ribosomal RNA", at positions 109 to 334 of the family's 1533-position model. The record is from RNAcentral.